UGAAUCCUACGGGAGGCAGCAGUGGGGAAUAUUGCACAAUGGGGGAAACCCUGAUGCAGCGACGCCGCGUGAGUGAAGAAGUAUUUCGGUAUGUAAAGCUCUAUCAGCAGGGAAGAAAAUGACGGUACCUGACUAAGAAGCCCCGGCUAACUACGUGCCAGCAGCCGCGGUAAUACGUAGGGGGCAAGCGUUAUCCGGAUUUACUGGGUGUAAAGGGAGCGUAGACGGUGAUGCAAGUCAGAGGUGAAAGCCCG
Molecule: ribosomal RNA, 254 nt
Filed under: uncultured bacterium
Lineage: Bacteria
Description: partial 16S ribosomal RNA
Rfam family: Bacterial small subunit ribosomal RNA
Source: RNAcentral